This is a long non-coding RNA of Alosa alosa (allis shad), 2288 nucleotides long. RefSeq lists it as uncharacterized. Lineage: Eukaryota; Metazoa; Chordata; Actinopteri; Clupeiformes; Clupeidae. The transcript is spliced from 2 exons. The record is from RefSeq and is a predicted model, not a curated record.
GUCCUCCAUGUAGUUACUUUUCGUUUAGAAAAAAAGGGCGUGUUAAGCCAAUAUUACCGCCAAAGACUUCAGACAAGUCACGGAUAAGUCAAGAUACAAAUGAGCCCGAAUGGCCACACCUAUUCACACCUAUUCACCCCAUUCCUAUUCAUAACACACUAUUCACACCAUUCCUAUUCAUAACACACUAUUCACACCUAUUCACACCAUUCCUAUUCAUAACACACUAUUCACACCUAUUCACACCAUUCCUAUUCAUAACACAUUAUGUCCAGUAAAGUGAUUGGGCACGUGCGUGCCCGUUCAUGUGUGGUAAUAUUUACCCUUUAGGUGGCGGUAUUGCAUUCUAUAUCUGUAUAUCUCUAUACAGCUCUGAAAACAGUUUGCAAAACACACAACCAACUGAGGGAGCCAAAAUGGUCAACAUGGGUUGUAAACCCAUUUUUUUUUUUUUUUAUCGCCACCAAUUUAAUUUAAUGUCACCCUAUAGACAAGUUAAAAGCAUUAUAUCUGUCUUUUCUGUUUCAUCAUCCCCUUAGAACAUUGGAAUUUUUGUCAAGUCAGAGAAUGUCUGACGCAGACGGGCUCUGGUCAAGUCAAGACUAAAAUGGGAAAACGACACAGAUAAGAUACUGAGGGAGAACAUUAGGACAUGGACCCCUGAUGACCUUUGACCCCAUGACCUUGAGUACCUAAGAGCUGGUGUUCAUUCUCACAACAGGACAGUAUUAAAACCACUUAAUGGAUUUGACAUGAGGAUUCAUGCCAGGGAUAACAUCCGCCGAGGCAUGCAGAAAUAAUGGAGGAGACGGAUGCAAAGACUUCCCCGAAGCAGAAAGAGUUUUCUCCACCAAGUUAAUUAAUUCUGUAUAUUGGGACACCUUGCAGGAUGUUGCCAGUCAUUUAUGUAGACAAUGGGCAUGCAUUUAUAGCACAAAAAGGGAAAUGCAGUUCAGUUUAAAAAGAGGCCGACCUGUUAAAUGUAUCCCUCUACAUUCAUUGGUUACGGAAAUGAUGGUGGGUAGUAUGCUAUGUCAGUGGUUCUCAACUGGUCUGUCUUUGGGACCCUCCAGAUCAGUGGCACAGCCAUGGGUGCCACUAUGGCCCCUGACUAUGCCCAUUUAUAUCUUGGUUUCUUAGAAGAACAGUAUGUGUUCAAUAGCAAUCCUUUUUUUUAGAGAAGAUCAUGUUGUUCAAAAGAUACAUUGAUGAUUGUUUUGUGGCUCAUUACCUGAAUUUGAAUCGUUUGUCUUGUAUAUUAACUGCCUAAGACCAUUCAUCAAGUUUACUUAUUCAGCUAGUACCACCUGUGUGAACUUUGUAGACACUUGUAUUUCACUUACUGAUGGAAACAUUGUCUCCUCUUUGUACAGGAAAGACACAGAGAAAAAUAGUUUACUUCAUGCCACAAGUGUCCAUCCUACAUCUCUGAAACAAGGUCUGCCCUUCAGUCAGUUCACUAGACUGCACCAGAUUUGCUCCGACAAAAAUGACUUUGAGGCCCAAGCCAGAAUCCUAUACAGAAAUUUUAGCUCUAGAGGAUAUCCCAACAGCUGGCUUGAUAGAGCACUAGACAAAGUAUGUGCAUCUGAAACACAACCACCCAAUUUGACCUCUAAACAAAAGGAGAACCGCUCUAUUCUAAAAUUGACAUAUAGUCCUUUGAGCAGUGACAUCAGAAACAUUGUUAAUUCGCAUUGGCAUAUAAUUAAAAGCGAUGAUCAACUGAAUGGUCUCUUUCACAAUUUACCUCUGUGUAUUUUCUAGAAACCCUAAUCUCAGAGAGGCUGGUCCAUGCUGACACUGCCACGCCGCCUCCUCCUAGCACUCUCUCUAAUGCCAACGUCUGCAGGGCACUCCAUUGCUGACCUGAGAUUUCUGGGUGUGGAAAGGAUCUCUAGGAUCUCGCCUAAAAGGAGAGGUGGGGACUUGGAUAAAACAUUGCUUCAGAGAGAAUGUUUCUGGAUUUUUGAACUUGGUAGCCUUUGUCCAAAAGGGAUGAACGAGGACUUAAAUCUAUCAUGCUUUUUGUAAAACUUUUAUCUCACUAACUCUUUUAAAUUAAUGUCUACAAGUGUUGUAACAAAAACAAAUGCAUCUAUACUUGUUGUCUGGGUCUGGCCUAAAGCCCCUCCCACCACACCUGUGUCUUAAUUGCCCUUAACCCAACUGGGUAUUUGUUAAUUGCAUGUCUGCAGUUGAUUCACUGUGAGCAUUGAGAAUAGCCGGACGGCUGAAACGUCUGCUCUUGCUCCCAAAAUUAAAUGGAAAAACUCUUUCUUUCUGAA